GGGUAGCUGGGAGGACGGUAGGCUGGUGACGUGCACUUCAUUUAUGAUGUAGGUCACCCGUUUGGCCAUCCAUCAGCGCCC
RNAcentral lists this microRNA precursor (81 nucleotides) under Felis catus (domestic cat). RNAcentral describes it as "mir-1193 microRNA precursor family". It matches the Rfam family "mir-1193 microRNA precursor family". The record is from Rfam by way of RNAcentral. RNAcentral also lists the same sequence under 2 other names. Lineage: Eukaryota; Metazoa; Chordata; Mammalia; Carnivora; Felidae.